CUUUCCCUCAGUUCUGCUCAGUUCUGUGGCCCAACAUGAUUCAGCAGGAACUCUAGGACUGAGGAGGACGGUGUUCAUGGCAUUUGUCAGUUGGAAUGCAGCUGAAGCCACCCACGCUCGGCUAGCCUGUAUGAAGCAGCCAGCAAACAUUCAGUGUAGAGCACCCAAGACAUCUGGGAUUCGCUCACUCACAUCUCCAGCUUGCAUGGUCCUCUGAGGAAGACAUGAGAAAGCAGAAGAGGAAAAGAGGGUCAUGAGACAGAGAGAGAAGGGGACCCAGAGAAAUCCAGGGCUGGCUUCAGCGCAUUUGAGUUUUAACUUUGGAACAUUCUCCUAAGUCGUGAAUACUAAUUAUACUGAGUGUGUCAAAUUGUGUCCUGAUCUUGUAAGUCAAACAAAUGCUCCCAGAAGGUAGGUGGAGGCCACCAAACUCAUUUCAUUUAUAACGCAAGUUGAAUGUGAAGCUAGAACUUUGAGGGGGGGUGGAUAGACUUUGUGAGUUUAUUUAGUUUUAUGACAUGUGCUUUACACCUUCAACGCUACCUUGACAUAAAGGCGGCAAGCUUUCAUUUGAACAGUUAAUACGCUAUUAGGAAUAGCUAUAGCACUUAGUAGAAAUACUGAGAAUAAACAAGUUGUUUCG
This 643-nucleotide long non-coding RNA is filed under the name Mustela putorius furo (domestic ferret). Its description in RNAcentral is "lncRNA (ENSMPUG00000031047.1)". Lineage: Eukaryota; Metazoa; Chordata; Mammalia; Carnivora; Mustelidae. The record is from RNAcentral.